RNAcentral lists this long non-coding RNA (603 nucleotides) under Medicago truncatula (barrel medic). RNAcentral describes it as "lncRNA gene7212". The record is from RNAcentral. Lineage: Eukaryota; Viridiplantae; Streptophyta; Magnoliopsida; Fabales; Fabaceae.
CCUUAAACUCAUGCCAUCGUUUACAGCUAACUUGUAUAGAACAUUAACACCAGCAAAUGCUAUUUGCACCAUAACCAUUAACAACGUUGGCUUCAAACCUUGCACUACAUUACACAAAUUGUUCUUCAUCAUCAUCACCACGAGUGUGUGUGUGUAUAUAUUUACGUUGAAAUUUCACUUAAUUAAGAGAGUGAAUAUUAAGUGACACAUGCAUGAGAUGAAAUGAAACAAAGAAGGGUGUGUCUGUAUUUAUAGUGAAUGAAGAAGAUUCCAAAGGUGAAUUAAAGCGGCAGUGUUUGUUUGUUUGGUUACUUACACGUCAUCAUCUACGUUGUUACUAUAGAAAAACUUACACGUUUUAGCUUCUUAUUUGACACGUGCGAAAUUGGUCUUCGUGGGCCUCAAUAAUAAGGGUUUGCCUCUACUGCAUGCUGCUAUGCAUGAAACUCAGUGAGAUAUUAACUUGAUUACUCUAUUUGUAACUUCUCCAUUUCCACCUCUUCAAUAACUCCACCAUAUAUAUUAAUUCAUGCUCUCUGCGCGAGGACUGAUUUCAUUUUCCAUGAUAAUCAACUUGUAGUAGUAUUGCAAUCUAUGAAGCAC